This is a non-coding RNA of Bombyx mori (domestic silkworm), 60 nucleotides long. The record is from Rfam. NCBI's taxonomy places the organism in Eukaryota, Metazoa, Arthropoda, Insecta, Lepidoptera, Bombycidae.
UGUCGGGGAGAGAAAUCGACGAGGCUGUUUUAUUUAGUCAGUCUUUUUCUCUCUCCUAUA